Molecule: ribosomal RNA, 508 nt
Filed under: uncultured bacterium
Lineage: Bacteria
Description: partial 16S ribosomal RNA
Rfam family: Bacterial small subunit ribosomal RNA
Source: RNAcentral
AUUGAACGCUGGCGGCAGGCCUAACACAUGCAAGUCGAGCGGCAGCGGGAAAGUAGCUUGCUACUUUUGCCGGCGAGCGGCGGACGGGUGAGUAAUGCCUGGGAAAUUGCCCAGUCGAGGGGGAUAACAGUUGGAAACGACUGCUAAUACCGCAUACGCCCUACGGGGGAAAGCAGGGGACCUUCGGGCCUUGCGCGAUUGGAUAUGCCCAGGUGGGAUUAGCUAGUUGGUGAGGUAAUGGCUCACCAAGGCGACGAUCCCUAGCUGGUCUGAGAGGAUGAUCAGGCACACUGGAACUGAGACACGGUCCAGACUCCUACGGGAGGCAGCAGUGGGGAAUAUUGCACAAUGGGGGAAACCCUGAUGCAGCCAUGCCGCGUGUGUGAAGAAGGCCUUCGGGUUGUAAGGCACUUUCAGCGAGGAGGAAAGGUUGAUGCCUAAUACGUAUCAACUGUGACGUUACUCGCAGAAGAAGCACCGGCUAACUCCGUGCCAGCCGCCGCUGUAA